This 429-nucleotide ribosomal RNA is filed under the name uncultured bacterium. RNAcentral's name for it is "bacterial SSU rRNA". It matches the Rfam family "Bacterial small subunit ribosomal RNA", at positions 29 to 459 of the family's 1533-position model. The record is from RNAcentral.
AUUGAACGCUGGCGGCAUGCCUUACACAUGCAAGUCGAACGGCAGCACGGGAGCAAUCCUGGUGGCGAGUGGCGAACGGGUGAGUAAUACAUCGGAACGUGCCCAGUAGUGGGGGAUAGCCCGGCGAAAGCCGGAUUAAUACCGCAUACGACCUCAGGGUGAAAGCGGGGGAUCGCAAGACCUCGCGCUAUUGGAGCGGCCGAUGGCAGAUUAGGUAGUUGGUGGGGUAAAGGCCUACCAAGCCUGCGAUCUGUAGCUGGUCUGAGAGGACGACCAGCCACACUGGGACUGAGACACGGCCCAGACUCCUACGGGAGGCAGCAGUGGGGAAUUUUGGACAAUGGGCGCAAGCCUGAUCCAGCCAUGCCGCGUGCGGGAAGAAGGCCUUCGGGUUGUAAACCGCUUUUGUCAGGGAAGAAACGCUCUGGG